This 504-nucleotide ribosomal RNA is filed under the name uncultured bacterium. RNAcentral's name for it is "partial 16S ribosomal RNA". It matches the Rfam family "Bacterial small subunit ribosomal RNA", at positions 28 to 523 of the family's 1533-position model. The record is from RNAcentral.
GAUAAACGCUAGCGGCAGGCUUAACACAUGCAAGUCGAGGGGCAGCAUAGAUUGUAGCAAUACAAUUGGUGGCGACCGGCGCACGGGUGCGUAACGCGUAUGCAACCUACCCGUCACAGGGGGAUAAUCCGGAGAAAUCUGGUCUAAUACCCCAUAACAUAUGGAUCGGCAUCGGUUCAUGUUGAAAUUUUCGGAGGUGCAGGAUGGGCAUGCGUAGCAUUAGCUUGUUGGUGAGGUAACGGCUCACCAAGGCGACGAUGCUUAGGGGGACUGAGAGGUUUUCCCCCCACACUGGUACUGAGACACGGACCAGACUCCUACGGGAGGCAGCAGUGAGGAAUAUUGGUCAAUGGGCGCAAGCCUGAACCAGCCAUGCCGCGUGCAGGAUGACGGCUCUAUGAGUUGUAAACUGCUUUUGUACGAGGGUAAAGUGGGUUACGUGUAACCUUUUGAAAGUAUCGUACGAAUAAGGAUCGGCUAACUCCGUGCCAGCCGCCGCGGUAA